UACGUAGGGCGCAAGCGUUGUCCGGAAUUAUUGGGCGUAAAGAGCUCGUAGGCGGCCUGUUGCGUCCGCUGUGAAAUCCCGGGGCUCAACCCCGGGCGUGCAGUGGAUACGGGCUGGCUGGAGGCAGGCAGGGGAGAACGGAAUUCCUGGUGUAGCGGUGAAAUGCGCAGAUAUCAGGAGGAACACCGGUGGCGAAGGCGGGUCUCUGGGCAUCUCCUGACGCUGAGGCGCGAAAGCGUGGGGAGCAAACGGG
This 253-nucleotide ribosomal RNA is filed under the name uncultured bacterium. RNAcentral's name for it is "partial 16S ribosomal RNA". It matches the Rfam family "Bacterial small subunit ribosomal RNA", at positions 524 to 776 of the family's 1533-position model. The record is from RNAcentral.